UACGAAGGGUGCUAGCGUUGUUCGGAAUCACUGGGCGUAAAGCGCGCGUAGGCGGCUAUUCAAGUCAGAGGUGAAAUCCCCAGGCUCAACCUGGGAAUUGCCUUUGAAACUGUAUAGCUGGAGUAUUGGAGGGGAUAGCGGAAUUGCUAAUGUAGAGGUGAAGUUCGUAGAUAUUAGCAGGAACACCGGUGGCGAAGGCGGCUAUCUGGACAAUUACUGACGCUGAAGUGCGAAAGCGUGGGGAUCAAACAGG
Molecule: ribosomal RNA, 253 nt
Filed under: uncultured bacterium
Lineage: Bacteria
Description: partial 16S ribosomal RNA
Rfam family: Bacterial small subunit ribosomal RNA
Source: RNAcentral